This is a non-coding RNA of Leclercia adecarboxylata, 252 nucleotides long. Lineage: Bacteria; Pseudomonadati; Pseudomonadota; Gammaproteobacteria; Enterobacterales; Enterobacteriaceae. The record is from Rfam.
CCGGCAGAAUUGCUGGCUCCCUGGACAGGCGAUAUUGCCGCUGAAGGGAUCAGUAAAGUACUGCGCGGCGGCGCCUCGUUGCUGAAGAAAGGGUUUCAGCGCCAGCAGCGCUACGCCGGAGAAGUGCUUACCGAGGAGUGGCGCAUGGCGCCGGGCCCGCUGGAAGCAGCAUGGUUCGCAGAAGAGACCGCAGCCGUUGAGUGUUCGGUCGAUGCACUGACAAAACGGCUUGAAAAACUGGAGGGCAAAUGA